AGUCUGAAUAGGGCGACUUAGUAUGUGGACGUAGACCCGAAACCGUGUGAUCUACCCCUGUCCAGGGUGAAGGUGCGGUAACACGCACUGGAGGCCCGAACCCACGUACGUUGAAAAGUGCGGGGAUGAGGUGGGGGUAGCGGAGAAAUUCCAAUCGAACUCGGAGAUAGCUGGUUCUCCCCGAAAUAGCUUUAGGGCUAGCCUCGGUAUAAGAGUAGUGGAGGUAGAGCACUGAUUGGGUGCGGGGUCCGCAAGGAUUACCAAGCUCAGUCAAACUCCGAAUGCCAUAUACUUAUUGCCGGGAGUCAGACAGUGAGUGCUAAGAUCCAUUGUCAAAAGGGAAACAGCCCAGACCAUCAGCUAAGGUCCCCAAGUGUGUGUUAAGUGGGAAAGGAUGUGGAGUUGCACAGACAACCAGGAUGUUGGCUUAGAAGCAGCCACCAUUGAAAGAGUGCGUAAUAGCUCACUGGUCGAGUGACUCUGCGCCGAAAAUGUAACGGGGCUAAACACACCACCGAAGCUAUGGCUAGAUACUAUGUAUCUGGGGUAGGGGAGCGUUGUGUAGGGGUUGAAGGUGUACUGAAAAGAGCGCUGGACACUACACAAGUGAGAAUGCCGGUAUGAGUAACGAAAAGAUCAGUGAGAAUCUGAUCCGCCGAAAGCCCAAGGUUUCCUGAGGAAGGCUCGUCCGCUCAGGGUAAGUCGGGACCUAAGGCGAGGCCGAAAGGCGUAGUCGAAGGACAACAGUUUGAAAUUACUGUACCACCGUAAUCCGCUAUGAGCGAUGGGGUGACGCAGGAGGGUAGUGACGCGGACUGAUGGAUGUCCGUCUAAGCAGUGAGGCUGAUGUGUAGGCAAAUCCGCACAUCAUUAAGGCUGGGCUGUGAUGGGGAGCGAAAAUUAUAGUAG
RNAcentral lists this ribosomal RNA (909 nucleotides) under Paenibacillus odorifer. RNAcentral describes it as "bacterial LSU rRNA". It matches the Rfam family "Bacterial large subunit ribosomal RNA", at positions 680 to 1585 of the family's 2925-position model. Lineage: Bacteria; Bacillati; Bacillota; Bacilli; Caryophanales; Paenibacillaceae. The record is from RNAcentral.